GCAGUGGUGGUUCAGUGGUAAAAUUCUUGCCUUUCAUUUAGGAUGCCUAGGUUUGAUUUCUGGCCAAUGCG
This 71-nucleotide transfer RNA is filed under the name Loxodonta africana (African savanna elephant). It matches the Rfam family "tRNA". Rfam says of the family: Transfer RNA (tRNA) molecules are approximately 80 nucleotides in length. Their secondary structure includes four short double-helical elements and three loops (D, anti-codon, and T loops). Lineage: Eukaryota; Metazoa; Chordata; Mammalia; Proboscidea; Elephantidae. The record is from Rfam by way of RNAcentral.